Molecule: long non-coding RNA, 706 nt
Filed under: Heterocephalus glaber (naked mole-rat)
Lineage: Eukaryota; Metazoa; Chordata; Mammalia; Rodentia; Bathyergidae
Description: lncRNA (ENSHGLG00100044400.1)
Source: RNAcentral
GUCCGCCACCAGCCUGGGCAGCAGCCUGGCCCUGACUCCUCGGAGCUCCCAUGCCCAGCCCAGUUCUCAGGGCCCCGUUCGCCUGGCUUCUGCGGGCACCCUGCGCCAGGGCUGGGUCCGCUCACCCAGCAGGGAUAGAACUUGGGACCUUGUGCUUGUGAGGCAGGUGGUGGAACCACUGAGCCAAAUCCCCAGCUCUGUUUUUCUUUUUUAGAUGGGCACCACCCCUGUGCCAGGCACCGAGGGAGCCGGGACGGAGGCCAGGGAGGCCGUGAGGGCAGUCCCUGCCGCAUGGGGGUCAGGUCUGAGCAGGGCAGGGUCCCUGAACCCUGGCUCGGGGGAGGAUGGUGACCUGUGGCCGGGGUGGGGCGGAUAAGGCCCCAUCAAUCACCUGGGCCGGCUCCCUUGCCUGGGGCUCCUUCCAGCUGCCUGGGGCCUCCGGAGCCUGAGGGGGGUAGGCCCAGUGCCCCAGACGCCAUUCGGGGUGUGGGUGAGGGUCGGGGCCCUGAUGUGCACUGGGAACUGAGACCCGGGAGGGGCGGCUCCUGCCCCACGUCCCCCGGGUCUGAUGCCGCUGCAGCCUGGGCUUUGUGGGGGUGGCAGGGAGCCGGGAGAGGGGCUGAGGGCUCUGCUUCAGCUCGGUCUGUGGUGGCAGCGGGCUGGGCCUUUCUCGGGGCCUCAGUUCUCCGAGAGUGAAGUGUGACCU